CACGGGGUUGCGAGCGUUGUCCGGAAUUACUAGGCGUAAAGGGCAGGCAGGCGGAUCCAUAAGUUUAUCGUUUAAGGCGUCGGCUUAACCGGCGUAGGGCGGUAGAUACUGUGGAUCUGGAAUGCGGUUGGGGAAGACAGAAUUCCUGGUGUAGCGGUGGAAUGCGCAGAGAUCAGGAGGAAUACCGAAGGCGAAGGCAGUCUUCCAAGCCGUUAUUGACGCUCAACUGCGAAGGUGUGGGUAUCAAACAGGAUUAGAUACCCGCGUAGUCCCUGA
This 276-nucleotide ribosomal RNA is filed under the name uncultured prokaryote. RNAcentral's name for it is "partial 16S ribosomal RNA". It matches the Rfam family "Bacterial small subunit ribosomal RNA", at positions 524 to 800 of the family's 1533-position model. The record is from RNAcentral.